Molecule: ribosomal RNA, 253 nt
Filed under: uncultured bacterium
Lineage: Bacteria
Description: partial 16S ribosomal RNA
Rfam family: Bacterial small subunit ribosomal RNA
Source: RNAcentral
GACAGAGGGUGCAAACGUUGUUCGGAAUCACUGGGCGUAAAGCGUGUGUAGGCGGCUCCGCAAGUCGGAUGUGAAAGCCCCGGGCUCAACCCGGGAAGUGCACUCGAUACUGCGGAACUAGAGUCUCGGAGAGGUUGGUGGAAUUCUCGGUGUAGAGGUGAAAUUCGUAGAUAUCGAGAGGAACACCGGUGGCGAAGGCGGCCAACUGGACGAAGACUGACGCUGAGACACGAAAGCGUGGGGAGCAAACAGG